Molecule: transfer RNA, 67 nt
Filed under: Ictidomys tridecemlineatus (thirteen-lined ground squirrel)
Lineage: Eukaryota; Metazoa; Chordata; Mammalia; Rodentia; Sciuridae
Description: Spermophilus tridecemlineatus (thirteen-lined ground squirrel) tRNA
Rfam family: tRNA
About the family: Transfer RNA (tRNA) molecules are approximately 80 nucleotides in length.
Source: Rfam by way of RNAcentral
GGUUGUAGCUCAGUGGUAAAGCACUUGCCUUGCACGCAUGAAGCUCUGGGUUUGAUCCUCAGCACCA